Long non-coding RNA from Falco peregrinus (peregrine falcon), 591 nucleotides. RefSeq lists it as uncharacterized. The transcript is spliced from 3 exons. Lineage: Eukaryota; Metazoa; Chordata; Aves; Falconiformes; Falconidae. The record is from RefSeq and is a predicted model, not a curated record.
ACAAACCUAUUCCUUUUGUGUGCUCUGUAGUCUUCUUUUAGUUCUUAAAUAUGGUUUUAUUCUUCUGGUACUAAGGGUCUCGGCACUGGUAUUUUUGUUCCGGUAUGUGUGUCAUCAGCAGAGUUAUUAGCUGUGUUCCAGUUGCAUGGUCCUUUGUUGCUGGAUUGAAAAGCUCUACUAACUUCAACCGUGUGUUUUUAGACUAGAUACUUACAGAAAGCCUUUACUGUGUUUAUAGAAGAGCAGAUUUAAUCUGGAAGUCAUUGAGAGAAACCAAUAAAGAACUUCCUUGAUGUGAUUUUUGGAGCUACUCUGUGGAACUGAAUUACAUGUUUUCAGAACUGCAGUAACUGGAAGGAAAGAAAAUACUGGAAAGUGUUUCUGUAAUUGGAGCAGGGUUUGGCAGGGACUUCUGCCUUUCUGGAAAAGAAAUGCUGAUUUUGGCUCUUCACUUUGCCAUCCCUUUUUUCUGCUGUUGUGUACUGGAAUAAAAGAAUAAAGUUGAAUGAAAAGUGUGUGUCUUUUGAAGAACAGUGACUGAAAGAAAUAUUGAUGACUGCCAGGGCAUCUACGGAAAAGUAUAAGAAAAUU